UUAAUGAAAAAAGAAAUUUUUUAAAAUUUAAUUGAAUUAAUAAAAAUGAAAUUAGUAAAAAUAAAACUGCAAAGGAAUUUUCUAAAAAAAUUAAAAGUAAAUUUAAUGUACCUUUUGCAUAAGGGAUUUUUAAUAAAAAUUAAAUUUUUAAUUUUCUCGAAAUAAAUUGAUCUAAAAUAAAUACUAAAUUUAUAUUUCAUUAUAAAUUUUAAGUUUAUUUUAGUUGUGAAAUGCUUGUAAUAAUUUAAGAUAUCUAGUUUAAAAAAAAAAUUAAAUAUUAACCUAUGAAUAAUUUUUUAUUAUUAAUUUCAUAGGUAAGAAUUUUAGGGAUAAGCUAAAGAUUAAUUUUUUUUAAAAAUUCAAAAACUAAAUUAAAAUAUAAGAAAUAUAAUUGUUCUUUAUAUUGUUAUAAGUAAGUUUAUAUAAUAAUUUAAAAAAUAAUUUAUUUUAAAUAUAAAAUAAAAAAUUAUAUUUAUUUUGAAAUAUGAAAAUAUUAGUAAAAUUAUUUAGAAUUUAGGAAAAAUAUUUAAAAUAAAAAAUAUUAUAUAUUAAAAUAAGUUUAAAUAAUUCGGCAAAAACUUUUUCUCUGACUGUUUAAUAAAAACAACUUAUUCAGAAUUAUUAACUUUAUUGAAUAUAAAUCCUGCUCAAUGAAAUAUUUUAAAUUGCUGUAGUAUUUUGACUAUACAAAGGUAUUGUAAUAAGAUUUUAAUUGAAUGCUAAGAGAAUGGAAUUACAGGGAAUAACUAUUUAAAACUUAAAAAUUAAAAUUAUUUUAAUUUGUGAAGAAACAAUUAUUAAAAUUAAGGACAAGAAGACCCUAAGAAUUUUAAAAUAAUUAAUUUCUUAUAAGAAAUUAAUUAUUUUUAGUUGGGGCAACUAGAAAAUAUUAUAAACUUUUUAUAUAAUAAAAUGACCCAUUAUUAAUGAUUAUUUGAGAAAAAUACUCUAGGGAUAACAGCGUAAUAAUUUUUGAUAGAACCUAUAGACAAAAUAGUUUGCGACCUCGAUGUUGGAUUAGGAUACUUUUUUAAUGAAGAUGUUAAAAAAAGAAGUUUGUUCAACUUUUAAAGUCCUACAUGAUCUGAGUUUAGACCGAUGAGAAUCAGGUUGGUUUCUAUCUUAAUUAAAAUAAAUUUUUGGCUAGUACGAAAGGAAUUCCAAAAUUUAAUUAUAUUAAUGAAAACAACUUUAUUUGCAUCAUUUUUUGGAAUU
RNAcentral lists this ribosomal RNA (1215 nucleotides) under Dermacentor variabilis (American dog tick). Its description in RNAcentral is "16S ribosomal RNA". The stretch from base 954 to 1112 matches the Rfam family "Archaeal large subunit ribosomal RNA", at positions 2542 to 2701 of the family's 2987-position model. The record is from RNAcentral. Lineage: Eukaryota; Metazoa; Arthropoda; Arachnida; Ixodida; Ixodidae.